UGUAGUAUAGUAUCUACAGUACAUUGAUAAUUAAUAAUUAUGAUACAUCACUGAGUUAGUUCUAAGUUUGCUACUCAUAUUUUCAAUAUACGAUACAGCUCUAUCUUUAAAAAAUUAUGUUUGAUACAAGUACAUGAAGUGAUACUUUUGUGUAAUAUGGCCAAAUCGUACACAAACAUAUUUAAUGAGAGUGCACAUGUUUACUAUUCGCAUAGGUGUACUUAUUCCCUACAAAUCUAUAUAACUAUCUUUAUUAAUAUUUGUAGACAACUUGCGAGUACUCUAUUAGUCCCUAUGAGAGUAAAUUGACAAGGAGACAGCUGUUCAAAGACUCAGAAACUACACUUGUGCAGUUUAGCCCUCAACUUUUCAAGCUGUGAUGUAGGACUAUCAAAAGGGCAGUGUCGCCUCAAUGGACAUUUGAAGACGUUAGACUUAGCAGAUAAUACAGCCUGCAGAUUCUGUUGUGCAGAGAACAAAACCUCUAUCCAUAUUCUCUCGAAGUGUGAAACACUACAUAACUCCAGAGCACUACACUUGGGAGUCUAUGAAACAGAAGACGAAGAUAUCUGGCAGCUAGAGCCAUACCAUAUUCUGAACUUUCCAAGAAAAGGAAAAUUAAUAGAUUAGCUUUAAGCACUGAGGAUCUCCAGUAUUGCAAUAAUAAAGGGGGACACAAUAGAUCCUUUGAGUCGAGGCGUAUAUGAUACUCUAAUAUAUGCGUACAUACAUGGAUUUAUCUAUAUGUUCAGUUUGUAUUUUUUCGAAUUUAAUAAAUCACUGUCGUUUGUCUU
Molecule: long non-coding RNA, 794 nt
Organism: Diorhabda carinulata
Lineage: Eukaryota; Metazoa; Arthropoda; Insecta; Coleoptera; Chrysomelidae
Exons: 3
Source: RefSeq, a predicted model, not a curated record